RNAcentral lists this long non-coding RNA (1665 nucleotides) under Lupinus angustifolius (narrow-leaved blue lupine). RNAcentral's name for it is "long non-coding RNA (LANG_LNC003199)". The record is from RNAcentral. Lineage: Eukaryota; Viridiplantae; Streptophyta; Magnoliopsida; Fabales; Fabaceae.
ACAAAAAAUAAAAGAAAUAGAAGUAAAAGAAUAGGGGUCUCGGUCCCUGCUCCUUAACCCUUCGUGCUAAGCCAAAUGGGAUUGAAAUCCCUAGGGACAUUUGUUCUUCUUCUUCCUAGCAGCGGCAACCAUGGCCGAAAUCGGCGGAGAAAAAAAGUACCACGUGACUUGCGCUUCGGAUAGUGGUGUUUCUUCGAUGGGGGAUUUACUCGCGGUUGGAUCAUCUCUUCCUCUUUUUCCUUUUCGACGUCUUUAACGGUAAAGGGAGUUAGGAUCCCUCAAAUCCCUCUCUUUCUUUCUUUUCCUUUUCGACGUCUGAUGGUUUGGCCUAAAAAUGUGUAACAUGCCCUGAUUACUUUGGUCAUCAUUGCUGAUUGUAACUGAACAUUCAUGGUUUGCAUCUUGUGAUUGUAACUGAAAUGAAGAUAAUCUAAUUUGUAUCUUUAGAAUUCCCCUUAUGAGUGCUCUUUCUUUCACUAAUGCUUCAAUUUGUAACUGUUUGAGAAUAAAUUUUGGUUUGCCUAAAUAAUAACCAGAAACGUACACAACCCUUUUACUUUCUGAUUAUUCCCUCUGAAACUGCUCAUUAUUGCUGAUUAUGACUCAGUGUUUGUGUAACUGAAAAAAAUGAGCAUAUUAUCAGACCAUGACUUUUGAUUUGCAUCUGUUACUAAAAGCAUCUUUUCAAUUCUUGCUUGAUGACUCUCGGCUGGAUCAUUUAGUGCUGGUGUGGUUUAUUCUAACAAUGCCAAUUUGUUCCCCUCUGAAUUUGGUUUACUGUUUGCAUCUGGUUUGUUUUCUUCUCUGAAUCUGGCUUGAAUAUCUUUGGAUCUGGUUUACUAUUUGAAUUGGUUUAUUACAAGACUGUUUCUUUUCACACUAAUCUAUCAAAUAUCUGAAUUUGGAUUUCCAGGGAGUAUGCUUUGAUUAACUGGAGAGUGAGAAGCCGCGGGGAAAGUUGUGUGAGAAGGAGAUCCUCCAUGAUGGGGAAAAUUUGUGCUCUAUGAAGGCUGACCUGUUGGCACUUAUGGCUGAAAGUUCUCAUUGCCUAUUACAUCCAUUUUGGGACUGAGAAGACAUAUUAGGAGCCCCUGGAAAUCCCCCUGGAAGUUGAAUCCACCAUACAUGUGGCCACUUGAUUGUAAAUGAAUGCACAUUUGAACAUGUACCAUUAUAAAAUGAAGGAUCUAGUUGUGCGUAUGAAAAGGGCAGUGUUUUAAGCACAAUCAUCAAAUAGCAUAAAGUUGUUGCUGUAGUGAGAUUUAAGAGAAACCAUUUUUCCUUCGUGAGAUUAGCAAUAAUGAGCUUGUUGAUUGUAUGUUGGGUUAAUUUUUAAAACUUAUAGCACUGUUGUAAAGUAGCUGAAGUUAAUACUUAACCUCAUGAGGACAUCAUAGCAUGUUUCACAAGCUAAUUCUUGAAUUUUAGCUUUUGUAUUAUCCAUAGUUUAACUUUAUGUUUCAAAGAGAAAAAAAAUGAGAAAUUGUAAUUUUAUGUUUAAACAGGUUAAUAGUUAAAUCUGAAAUUAAUUCAUUAACUUCAUUUUAUGUUUAACUACAUAUCUCUGUCUACUCUAUUCGCGCAUCAUAUCAAUCAGUGCCAACACAAUCUUCAAACUAAUUCAUCAAACAAAAGGUGUAGUGUUUGUCAUCAUCAAAAAGGGGG